Molecule: ribosomal RNA, 107 nt
Filed under: uncultured bacterium
Lineage: Bacteria
Description: partial 16S ribosomal RNA
Rfam family: Bacterial small subunit ribosomal RNA
Source: RNAcentral
CCCUUGUACACACCGCCCGUCAAGCCAUGGAAGUCGGGGGUACCCAAAGUCACUGAUCGAACCCGCAAGGGACGACAGUGCCCAAGGUAAAAUCGAUGACUGGGGCU